This 487-nucleotide ribosomal RNA is filed under the name uncultured bacterium. Its description in RNAcentral is "partial 16S rRNA". The record is from RNAcentral.
GCACAGAGUUAGCCGGUGCUUCUUCUAUGGGUUACGUCAAGACCCCGAGGUGUUAACUCGAGGCUUUUCUUCCCCACCGAAAGGGCUUUACAACCCGCAGGCCUUCUUCACCCACGCGGCGUCGCUGGAUCAGGCUUUCGCCCAUUGUCCAAUAUUCCCCACUGCUGCCUCCCGUAGGAGUCCGGACCGUGUCUCAGUUCCGGUGUGACUGGUCGUCCUCUCAGACCAGUUACGGAUCGUCGCCUUGGUAGGCCGUUACCCUACCAACUAGCUAAUCCGACUUGGGCUCAUCUGUUAGCGCCAGGCCUUGCGGUCCCCGGCUUUCCACCGUAGUGCGUAUGCGGUAUUAGCCCGAGUUUCCCCGGGUUGUCCCCCACUAACAGGCAGAUUCCCAAGCGUUACUCACCCGUCCGCCGCUCGUCAGCAUGUAUUGCUACACCUGUUACCGCUCGACUUGCAUGUGUUAGGCACGCCGCCAGCGUUCAAU